UACGAAGGGGGCUAGCGUUGCUCGGAAUUACUGGGCGUAAAGGGCGCGUAGGCGGAUCGUUUAGUCAGAGGUAAAAGCCCAGGGCUCAACCUUGGAACUGCCUUUGAUACUGGCUAUCUUGAGUACGGGAGAGGUGUGUGGAACUCCGAGUGUAGAGGUGAAAGUCGUAGAUAUGCGGAAGAACACCAGUGGCGAAGGCGACACACGGGCCCGUUACUGACGCUGAGGCGCGAAAGCGUGGGUAGCAAACAGG
This 253-nucleotide ribosomal RNA is filed under the name uncultured bacterium. Its description in RNAcentral is "partial 16S ribosomal RNA". It matches the Rfam family "Bacterial small subunit ribosomal RNA", at positions 524 to 776 of the family's 1533-position model. The record is from RNAcentral.